GCCAACGCAGGCGCGCCCCCGCUCGGAGACUGUCUGGAGUCUGUCUGAAAUUGAUAAAAUUGAAGAUGGAGACUUUUUUUAAACGCGUCUCUCCGCUCGACCAGGGGGGGGGGGUGAAACGUGACGACCGCAGCCGGAAACCCUCGCUCUCCUGCCCGGGGAGGACUUCGCGCAGGAGGCGCCGCGUUGAGCUCCCAAAACAAAAACAUUUGUGGGAUAAACGCUGUGAAAGUUUUUUCUCCCGCAGUGUGACAGCAGACAGGUCUUUAUGCUCAGGCAGGGGAUCAGCCCUUCAGCCCCCAGAGUUCAAGAGGAGUGCUUCCAGCUUCCAGCAUGCAGCAGGACAAAAAGGCUUGUCCCAAACCUGAUCCAGGGUCUUGCAAUGAGAAAGGAGAUCCAUGGUUUCUUGAAGUCUGUCACCCCUUCAUGUCUUUGACGCUGGAGUGCAGUCUGCCCAAAUGUGUAGAGAGUUGGUGGUGGACUACGAGGAAGAUGUCAUGCUAAGGAUGGGUUUUGGUGAUGAUGUCGCUGCUGUUGAUGCAGCAUCGAGCUCUCACUUUGUGCCUCUGUCAGCUAUGAUGCGUAACCACACAGUGAGUGACAGGCCCGUCCCCGGGGAGAGCAAGGGGCCUGAGAAGCGCAGGCUCUUUUCAGAAGCGGCGUGGAGGACUGACCGUCGUGAAGACGCUGCUGGGAGCAGCCCUAUCUGCUCUAAUGGUAGUCACCGGCCGUUAGACAUGAUGUUCAAAGACUAGUGGCGCAAGUAUGGAAAUGCAGAUAAGGCAUUGUUGGGGAAACAUGCCUGGGAAUUGUUUAAGGCUUUCUCUCCUUUUGCAUAAUGUUGGAUGCUUUUGCCAAUGUUUUAAUCUCAAAACCUGUAAAUUAGAUCCUCCCCGAAUCAACACAGAAUGAGAGACUGUUUGUUAUGCUGUGAAAAUCCAUGUUUGUGAUUAAAUCUGUGAAUAUUUGAAAAUUUUAUUGUAUGCAUUUCUUUUUUUUAAGCCCGUAAUACUGCAGAUUGGUCCCAUUUACUGUUUUAACCAAAUGUUAUUUAUUAAGCAUUUUUAGGAGAUGAACAUUUGUUGAUGUAAACAUGUCAGAAACUUUGUGUAUAAUCUUCAAGCUUUAUUUACUCUUCUUUUGCUGUUUUCAGGAGGCAGUUAAUUACACAAUUAAUACAUGAUACAAAUUAUGUACAUUUAUACCAAAGAAUACUUCCAACAUAAAAUA
Molecule: long non-coding RNA, 1230 nt
Organism: Hippoglossus stenolepis (Pacific halibut)
Lineage: Eukaryota; Metazoa; Chordata; Actinopteri; Pleuronectiformes; Pleuronectidae
Exons: 6
Source: RefSeq, a predicted model, not a curated record